GCCGGGGUGGCCGAGCGGCCCAAGGCGCGGGACUUGAGAUCCCGUCCCCGUUCAGGGGGCGUGGGUUCAAAUCCCACCCCCGGCG
Molecule: transfer RNA, 85 nt
Filed under: Pyrobaculum calidifontis JCM 11548
Lineage: Archaea; Thermoproteati; Thermoproteota; Thermoprotei; Thermoproteales; Thermoproteaceae
Description: tRNA-Ser (TGA) (tRNA-Ser-TGA-1-1)
Rfam family: tRNA
About the family: Transfer RNA (tRNA) molecules are approximately 80 nucleotides in length. Their secondary structure includes four short double-helical elements and three loops (D, anti-codon, and T loops).
Source: RNAcentral